CUGCCCAAUGAGUAUUUGAAUGGCCGCGGUAUUUUGACCGUGCAAAGGUAGCAUAAUCAUUAGUUUUUUAAUUGAAAGCUGGAAUGAAGGGUUGGAUGAAAAAAUUACUGUCUCUGUUUAAAUUAUUUAGAAUUUUAUUUUUAAGUAAAAAAGCUUAAAUGAAAAUAGAAGACGAGAAGACCCUAUAGAGUUUUAUAGAUUUUAGUUUAAGAAAUUUUUAGAAUUAAAAAAUUUUUAUAUUAAAGUUUAUUUGGUUGGGGUGAUUAAAAAAUUGGAAAAACUUUUUUUAUUGUUAAACAUUUAUUUAUGAUUAAAUGAUCCUUAUAUAAAGAUUAAAAGAAAAAAUUACCUUAGGGAUAACAGCGUAAUUUUUUUAAAGAGUUCAAAUCGAAAAAAAAGAUUGCGACCUCGAUGUUGGAUUAAAAUGAAAUUUUGGUGUAGAAGCUAGAGUAUUUGGGUCUGUUCGACCCUUAAAAUUUUACAUGAUCUGAGUUUAAACCGGCGU
RNAcentral lists this ribosomal RNA (505 nucleotides) under Rhinoscapha tricolor. Its description in RNAcentral is "partial 16S ribosomal RNA". It matches the Rfam family "Bacterial large subunit ribosomal RNA", at positions 1859 to 2622 of the family's 2925-position model. The record is from RNAcentral. Lineage: Eukaryota; Metazoa; Arthropoda; Insecta; Coleoptera; Curculionidae.